UUAUAUUUUAUUUAUUAAUUGAUUUUUUUUUUAUUAUAAAUUAUUAAAAAUAAUUAUUAUAUGAUUUGUUUGAGUAUUUUAUAAAGAAAAAAUAAUUUUAAUUAUAGUUAAAUAGUAUUGUGAAAGAAAAUUGAAAUAAUUUGAAAAAUUAAUAUAUUAAAAGAAAAUUUAAUUUAUUGUACCUUGUGUAUCAGGGUUUAUUAAUUAAAAAUUAUUUAGUAUAAUUUUCUCGAUUUUAAAAGAGUUAAUAUAUUAUAAAAGUUAAUGUGACAAAAUUAUUUUAUAUAAUAUAUUAGAAAUGAAAUGUUAUUCGUUUUUAAAGGUAUCUAGUUCUUUAAGAAAUAAAUUUAAUUUAGAAAUAUUAUAUCAUUUAGUUAAAUAAAUUAACUAAAUAAUUAUUUUAUUUUAAUAUUUUAUGGGAUAAGCUAUGAAAUAAAUUAUUAAAAAUUAUUAAAUAAUUUAAUAAAUAUAAGCUUAGAAAUAGCUAUUAUUAAUGAAAUUGUUAUAAUUUAUUUUAUAAUAUUUAUUAUUUAUUAAAUUUUAAUUAUGUAUUAAAGUAUUUAUUUUAAUUUUAAAAAUAAAAAAAUAAUGAUAAAAUUAGUAUAUUAUAUUGUAUAAAUAUUAUUAAUUGAAAAGUUUUUAUAAAGAACUCGGCAAAAAUAAUGUUCGCCUGUUUAACAAAAACAUGUCUUUUUGAAUUUUUUUUAAAGUCUAGCCUGCCCACUGAAUAAUUUAAAUGGCCGCAGUAUACUAACUGUGCAAAGGUAGCAUAAUCAUUAGUCUUUUAAUUGAAGGCUGGUAUGAAUGGUUGGACGAGAUAUUAACUGUUUCAUAAAAAUUUAUAAUAGAAUUUUAUUUUUUAGUCAAAAAGCUAAAAUAUAAUUAAAAGACGAGAAGACCCUAUAAAUCUUUAUAUAUAUAGAUUAUUAGAAUUUUGUAGAUUUUUUUUAUUAUAAUAGUUAAUUAUAUUUUAUUGGGGUGAUAUUAAAAUUUAAUAAACUUUUAAUUUUAUAAGUCAUUAAUUUAUGAAUAAUUGAUCCGUUAAUAGCGAUUAAAAAAAUAAGUUACUUUAGGGAUAACAGCGUAAUUUUUUUGGAGAGUUCAUAUCGAUAAAAAAGAUUGCGACCUCGAUGUUGGAUUAAGAUAUAAUUUUAGGUGUAGCCGCUUAAAUUUUAAGUCUGUUCGACUUUUAAAUUCUUACAUGAUCUGAGUUCAAACCGGCGUAAGCCAGGUUGGUUUCUAUCUUUAAAAAAUUAAAAUAUUUCAGUACGAAAGGACCUAAUAUUUAAUAAAUAAUUAUUUUUAUAUUGAAUAUAAUUAAUUUAU
This 1326-nucleotide ribosomal RNA is filed under the name Sarcophaga kawayuensis. Its description in RNAcentral is "16S ribosomal RNA". The stretch from base 1075 to 1234 matches the Rfam family "Archaeal large subunit ribosomal RNA", at positions 2544 to 2703 of the family's 2987-position model. The record is from RNAcentral. Lineage: Eukaryota; Metazoa; Arthropoda; Insecta; Diptera; Sarcophagidae.